UGGGGCUUGGUUCAUUGUCUCUGCCUCUUUCCUUGUGCCUUUUUCAACCACACAGCUUACAUCUGCUGGGUUGAGCAGUCCUGCACCAGCAAAUCCUUGCACCAUACCUUGAUCUGCUCUAGUUUUUGGUGACUCCAAGGUGUAGUCUCUGCUGUUUGUGACUGAUCAGGUGUUAAACAGCCUGUGUCCCCCCAGGGGGAUAUCCUGUGUCCCCCUUUCCCUUGCCAACACCAGAGGAGGGUAUUCUCAUACAAACUGCAGAGGGAAGAGUGGAAGCUUCUGCCCAGGUGUUCUCCACCCCCUGUGUUUUGGUUUCUUUCCCUCACCUGAUUGAUAUAGACAGUUGAGAUGAAUGGCAAAGAAUUACUCUUUUCCCAGGCCCUAGAGAUGAAGGAAUACCACAUACAAACCUUACAGUCCGAGUCGUAUUUAAAGACCUGUGUCCUCCCCAAAUGUCUUGGGUUGUUGGGGGGACAACAGCGAGCAGAAAUAUCUCUGUGUGAACAUGAAUUUCAGUCUCAAGAGCUGACCGAGCCUCCAGCACGGGAGCAUUGCAAACCUCGUGUCCCUGCAGCGGCGUGGAUGGAGCUGUGGCCCCACGCUGCGCCCCGCUGCAGUGGGGUGGUUUUUCCACUCGAGGGAGCUCCUGCUUUUGAGUAGCUGAACUUCAGCCCUCCCAGCACCUCCAGGCAAAACCCUGCGGGCGACAAGCCCUGGGUGCCAGGGGAGGCUCUGGGAAGAGGCUGACCCCCAGGGAGGUGCCGGUGCCACAGCCUGGGAUGCUCCUGACUGUGCUGGAGUCGUGUCCGAGCCCAUGGCAGCCAGGUGCUUCUGUGUGUCCCAAGAACUUCUGGGUGCAGGCACGAGGUUGUGUGGGAAGGGGCUGGCAGAUGAGACCACAGAAUGGUUAAAAAAUAAGUAGAUGUCAGGGAGAAGGCCUACUUUUCCUGUUGUUUUUUAAGCAGUGCUUGGCCGUACAGUGCCCUGCACGGGGACUUGGCACUGCAGCCUGCGUUUUCCCAAGGAACCAAUCUUUCAAGGAAGCUGACUGCAUGUGAAGGGAAUGACUGGGGGGAUCGUUUUACUCAUAGAAAAAUCUUUAUCUCGCCUGUCCAUGCCUCACAAUAUCAAGGCAAAACCGGAAUCCAGCCAAGUGCUUAGGAAGCAUCCUCAUCUUCGGCAGGACCACGGGGAAGGACUCAGUGGGGGAAGAGCCCUUGCACCCCUGGCCAGAAGGGACUCCCAGAAGUGCAGAUGCUUUUGGAGAAGGCCGAAGGGCAAGAUCCAUCCCUGGCUGCAUUAGAGACAGUUAGACCUGAUUCAUCCCGUCUCCAGCCACUCCCUGGCCUGUCUCCUGAAAGCCAGCGCGCACCGAGGCGUUCCCCAGCCAGGGUCAGGUGUCAGAGACAGAUCUGCAUAAAAUUCAGCUUCGCCUGUGCGCUGCUGUGAGUCAGAGGGUUUGGGAACCGCUCCAAGCUAUUGGAAAAAAACAACUCCCAAAUUAGCUGGGGUGGCUCCCAAGCGAAUCCACCUCCGCGGGGAAGGAGGUGAUCUAAUGAAAGCGUGCGGUCAGAAAUCAAAAGAGCCUGGAAAGCAUUCCAGGCUGCAUAAUAAGAUUUCACAUUUCAUAUCUUCAAAGCAUUAAGUGAACAUUAUCUAAUUAAUCCUCACAACACUCCUCAGAGAUAUUAUCCCUAUUUUACAGACGGAGAAACCAAGGCACAAAGUUAAGUCACUUGCCUGGGGCCAGAGAAGGGAGUGUCAGGGCUGGGAUUAGAGUCCAGGAGUUCCUGGCGCCCAACUUUUUCCUCAGACUACUGGGUCAUGUGUCUUCCCUGCAGGGAAGAUAAUAAUGAGCCCAUAAUUACCCAUACAAAUUCCCAGUGACCAGGCUAACUCGUCUGUAUAAAGCUAUUUGUAAUUCCAAUAAACACGCCCACGAUUUAGCUGCCUCUCCA
This 1958-nucleotide long non-coding RNA is filed under the name Anas platyrhynchos platyrhynchos (common mallard). Its description in RNAcentral is "lncRNA (ENSAPLG00000026136.1)". Lineage: Eukaryota; Metazoa; Chordata; Aves; Anseriformes; Anatidae. The record is from RNAcentral.